Molecule: ribosomal RNA, 252 nt
Filed under: uncultured bacterium
Lineage: Bacteria
Description: partial 16S ribosomal RNA
Rfam family: Bacterial small subunit ribosomal RNA
Source: RNAcentral
UACAGAGACUGCAAGCGUUAUUCGGAUUCACUGGGCGUAAAGGGUGCGCAGGCGGCCAAGUGUGUUAGGCGUGAAAGCCCGGGGCUUAACCUCGGAAUUGCACCUAAAACUACUUGGCUAGAGCAUUGGAGAGGGUAGCGGAAUUCACGGUGUAGCAGUGAAAUGCGUAGAUAUCGUGAGGAACACCAGAGGCGAAGGCGGCUACCUGGACAAUUGCUGACGCUCAGGCACGAAGCGUGGGGAGCAAAAGGG